UGGGGGAUAUUGCACAAUGGGCGAAAGCCUGAUGCAGCGACGCCGCGUGGGGGAUGAAGGCCUUCGGGUUGUAAACUUCUUUUGCUCUGAACAAGGCGCACCAUGGGGUGUGUUGAGUGUAGGGGUUGAUUAGCGCCGGCUAACUACGUGCCAGCAGCCGCGGUAAUACGUAGGGCGCGAGCGUUGCCCGGAAUUAUUGGGCGUAAAGGGCUUGUAGGUGGCUGGUUGCGUCUGUCGUGAAAGCUCAUGGCUUAACUGUGGGUUUGCGGUGGGUACGGGCGGGCUUGAGUGCAGUAGGGGAGGCUGGAAUUCCUGGUGUAGCGGUGGAAUGCGCAGAUAUCAGGAGGAAUACCGGUGGCGAAGGCGGGUCUCUGGGCUGUUACUGACACUGAGGAGCGAAAGCAUGGGGAGCGAACAGG
This 419-nucleotide ribosomal RNA is filed under the name bacterium. Its description in RNAcentral is "partial 16S ribosomal RNA". It matches the Rfam family "Bacterial small subunit ribosomal RNA", at positions 355 to 776 of the family's 1533-position model. The record is from RNAcentral.